Molecule: ribosomal RNA, 301 nt
Filed under: uncultured bacterium
Lineage: Bacteria
Description: partial 16S ribosomal RNA
Rfam family: Bacterial small subunit ribosomal RNA
Source: RNAcentral
CAGUCGCCACGGGAAUACGAAGGGGGCUAGCGUUGCUCGGAAUGACUGGGCGUAAAGGGCGCGUAGGCGGCGAUCAAAGUCAGGCGUGAAAUUCCUGGGCUCAACCUGGGGGCUGCGCUUGAUACUUGGUUGCUUGAGUGGGGAAGAGGGUCGUGGAAUUCCCAGUGUAGAGGUGAAAUUCGUAGAUGUUGGGAAGAACACCGGUGGCGAAGGCGGCGACCUGGUCCAUUACUGACGCUGAGGCGCGAAAGCGUGGGGAGCAAACAGGAUUAGAUACCCCUGUAGUCCCUGUCUCUUAUAC